GUCCAACUGCUGAAAUCUGAGCAAGAAUAUCAGAAAAAUGUGAUUUCAUUACAUGAUUGCUGAUUUUAGCUUUUUCAAUAUCCUCUACAGGACAGCUGGUCUAUAAGGUGGCAUUCCUCAAAUCCAAAAAAAACACACACAACAUACAGUGAGUUACAAAUUCUUUUAUUUUUUAAACCCAAAAGCACAAUCUAUUUUUAAACCUUUAAAGUGAUAAAUACCUAUUUAAAUAUACCUUCAAAGUCUUUUUAACCAUUUCCAAAAAACAGAUGAGUGUGAAAAAUGAGUAAUAACCAAACAUUAUGAAAUAGAUUUUUGUUCUUGAAUUACUUUUUUAGAGAAUCUGUCGGGGACUUGAUGACACUGGUGUUGGAGGAGAUGUUUCAGGAACCAGAACCAUUCAUGGAAGAGCUGCAGAAAAUACCUGGCUCUCAAAAGAAGGAGUGGUGGCUCGACACAUGUCCAGGUGUAGUCAAGGGGCGGGCCGAAGCCAAAAUACUGUCCAGUCGGGUCAGGAAACUCGAGGCGUAUCCUCAGGAUGACACACGACAGGAUAACUACUCAGCAGUUGUGUCCCCGAGUAUCUCCAGCACCGGCUCACAAAGCUGCGAUGAGCUGCCAAGUGUCUGCACAGCCUGUAUGGAGACAAUAUAGUUGGAUGUAAAAAUGUUACUUCUCAUUGUAUAUUUACACGUAUAGUUCUACACAUUUAAAUGUUUUUUUAACCUAAACUGAGAAUAAAGAACUUUCAA
This is a long non-coding RNA of Labrus mixtus (cuckoo wrasse), 752 nucleotides long. RefSeq lists it as uncharacterized. The record is from RefSeq and is a predicted model, not a curated record. The transcript is spliced from 2 exons. Lineage: Eukaryota; Metazoa; Chordata; Actinopteri; Labriformes; Labridae.